RNAcentral lists this small RNA (563 nucleotides) under Histoplasma capsulatum. RNAcentral's name for it is "hypothetical RNA". Lineage: Eukaryota; Fungi; Ascomycota; Eurotiomycetes; Onygenales; Ajellomycetaceae. The record is from RNAcentral. RNAcentral also lists the same sequence under 1 other name.
AACCAUCCCUCCUUACAUUGGAAUAUCCGAUGUAAAAAGCACAUUUCAAUAUUGCGAAGUAACUAAAUACACGUCGACAAUACUCUUCGACUCUUUUCUUUCCCCCCUCCUCUUUCCCCAAACUCUGUCUAUGCCAUUUAUACCACCCUCUUCUUUCUUUUGCCCAAAUGAAAACUAGCCCCAAACACCGUAUAAACUCCCAAACACCCAUGGGUAUAUCGUCAUGAACACAAACCAAAACUCCCUUUAAAGUUACAUUACAAAAAGGAUGGAAAAACCAGUCUGAGCCUAGGUUAGUGCAACUCUCCCAGCCAUCUCCACUUCCCCUUGUCCUUCCCCUUUACCAUCCCUCUCGUCAACAACAACCGUCUCCACUCCACCACCAAACAAUGCCGGGCAAAGGCUCCCCAACACACAGGCGAGAAGGUGCUUGCACACGGGUGUUUCGUGGUGGCUAUUCUUCAUCGAGUCUCUGGUUAAUGUGCCGCCAAAUGGGAAAGGGGUUGUAGGUGUAGAUGUAGAUGUAGAUGCAGGUGCAGAUGAAGAAUUAUUUCCCCUGUGCA